Molecule: long non-coding RNA, 518 nt
Organism: Populus euphratica (Euphrates poplar)
Lineage: Eukaryota; Viridiplantae; Streptophyta; Magnoliopsida; Malpighiales; Salicaceae
Exons: 3
Source: RefSeq, a predicted model, not a curated record
UGUUCUGCCCGAUACUAAAUUUAUGUCCUGUCCUCUCCUAUGCAGUACAUUUGCUUGCUUAACCCUUUAAUUAUUACAGAUACCAAGUGCUCGUGGAGCAAAAGUGCUUGACUAGUUUUUUUUUACCACGGCCACGUUCCCAAUUGCUUCAGGAAUAUCAUCUCGUCAAAUUUUAGCUUUUCUAGGUUUCAUAUGAAACCCAUAAAUAUAGAAUCAGAGAUAAAGUUUUACCGUACAAGUACUGGACAGCCAGACGUUGACCUGCACAUAUGCUCUCAUCAAAUGAUUUGAUUUUGGCAACUAGAUAUCUUGAUGUUCUGGCAGGAUCGCAUGUUACUUUUAUUCUUGUCAUUUUUUCCAGAAUAACUACUUGACGAUUCAAGAUUUUAUGAAUAAAAUUGAAUCCAUUUCUUCCUUCCUUCCUUCUCAUUCUUUUUUUCUAUCCGAGAGAAGAGGUUCUCAACUCUUCACAUUCUCAAUUUCCAGCAACAAGAUAUCACAGAAAAUAAAAUUAAAAA